RNAcentral lists this long non-coding RNA (250 nucleotides) under Hordeum vulgare. RNAcentral's name for it is "long non-coding RNA (HVUL_LNC006043)". The record is from RNAcentral. Lineage: Eukaryota; Viridiplantae; Streptophyta; Magnoliopsida; Poales; Poaceae.
UCAUUCUACCACCUCUAGUGACUACUCUAACAGAAUUGUCAUUCAACUCAUUGAGCAAGUCAUUUUGAGCCUUAAGUAUUUGUUCUACUUGAGUAGUGACCAUAUAGGCAUGUUUACUCAAAAGCUUAAGAUCAUUGACAUUUCUAUCCACACAAGCACUUAUAUGAUCAAUCAUACGAGCAUUUUGCCUCAAUUGUCUGCUAACAUAAUCAUUGAAACUUUGUUGUUUGGCAACAAAGUUAUCAAAUUC